CUCACUAGCUCUGGAUCAUCACAUGAAUUGAAGAUGUUGAAUUGUCAAUGUAAUUUUUUUCAUCGCCCGGGGAAUCACAGCACCGAUCCCUUCCCACUUAUCAACAUUCCAUGAUCUUCUGAAGUGAAUAAGCUGCUAGGCAAUCAGACUACCAAACUUCGACUGCAACUCAUUAAGCAGGAACCUGAUUACAAAAAGAAUACUUCAAAGUGAAAACGAGUCUAUCAAACAUGGUGUUCUAAAUAUGAAAUAUUUGUCUUCUUUCAUCAUUUUAAUUUCAUAACAAAGAAUAAUCAAAAACCAAUUUUAAUGAAUUCACUGACUUCAUGGAUUCUCUGAAUUAGUGAAAUUCUGCAACAGGUGAUACUAUGAAGAGGUAAAAACUAACUAUCAGGCUGAAUAUCUACAGCAAUACAAACCCGCAUACAAAAGAAAGAGCACCAUCUUGAUCUUAAGAAAACAAGUACUUAAAGUUUCAAAAUCCUCCCCUCACCAAGGCAUGAGAUGUAAACCAGCACAAAACCAAUCCAAUUUCUGAACCUUAUAUACCUUUCAAUGAGGCAAUAAAGUCAAACAAGGCACGAACGAGCAUACCAAACUGCUACUUUAUAAUAUCCAUAAUCAGGAAAAAACUGCAAAAUGAUGCUUCAGACAGUUUUAAGAGAAAAGAAUAGAAUGGCACCAAAAAACUUGUGAACAGACACUAAUCAACUCAUAGGAUAACUACUAUCUUGUAUUUGAUCUCAUAAACCCAGAAACCAGAACAAUUCAAAAAAGGGCCUCAAGCAAUUCCGAAAUCCAAAUAUAAUGUACAUAAAAUCCACAGAAACGAAAACUGGAUUCAAUCAUUAUCUUUUUCAUGAUAUUGCAUACGAAUAAAAAAAAACCGAAAAUUAUCAUAACAAGUGAAAAGGGAACAUUAACAAAUGAAGAGAAGAUCAGAAUAACAUCACCAAAACACAAAGUACUGAGCUUUUGAAAGAUGGACAUCAACUCACCAUGUAAGAACUCAAGAAGAUCUUCUCUCUCUCUAUCAAACAUCUACCUCUAAGUCCCAUUUCUUUUAGGAGAGUUGUUUUCACCGUGGGUUUAUAUCUCCACUCUCUCCCUUUAAAAGGCAAGAAAAGAUAUGUUUUGUUUCCAUCUGUGCAGUGUGAGUGUGUUUGCUGUUUAUGGAAGUGAGUCUGUG
Molecule: long non-coding RNA, 1189 nt
Filed under: Populus tremula
Lineage: Eukaryota; Viridiplantae; Streptophyta; Magnoliopsida; Malpighiales; Salicaceae
Description: long non-coding RNA (PTRE_LNC001969)
Source: RNAcentral